Molecule: ribosomal RNA, 449 nt
Filed under: uncultured bacterium
Lineage: Bacteria
Description: partial 16S ribosomal RNA
Rfam family: Bacterial small subunit ribosomal RNA
Source: RNAcentral
AAUGAAUGCUGGCGGCAGGCCUAACACAUGCAAGUCGAACGGAUCCUUCGGGAUUAGUGGCGGACGGGUGAGUAACGCGUGGGAACAUACCCUUUGGUACGGAAUAGCCUCGGGAAACUGGGAGUAAUACCGUAUGUGGUCGAGAGACGAAAGAUUUAUCGCCAAAGGAUUGGCCCGCGUUGGAUUAGGUAGUUGGUGGGGUAAUGGCCUACCAAGCCGACGAUCCAUAGCUGGUUUGAGAGGAUGAUCAGCCACACUGGGACUGAGACACGGCCCAGACUCCUACGGGAGGCAGCAGUGGGGAAUCUUGGACAAUGGGGGAAACCCUGAUCUAGCCAUGCCGCGUGAUCGAUGAAGGCCUUAGGGUUGUAAAGAUCUUUCAGGUGGGAAGAUAAUGACUGUACCACCAGAAGAAGCCCCGGCUAACUCCGUGCCAGCAGCCGCGGUAA